GACGAACGCUGGCGGCGUGCUUAACACAUGCAAGUCGAACGGAAAGGCCCUGCUUUUGUGGGGUGCUCGAGUGGCGAACGGGUGAGUAACACGUGAGUAACCUGCCCUUGACUUUGGGAUAACUUCAGGAAACUGGGGCUAAUACCGGAUAGGAGCUCCUGCUGCAUGGUGGGGGUUGGAAAGUUUCGGCGGUUGGGGAUGGACUCGCGGCUUAUCAGCUUGUUGGUGGGGUAGUGGCUUACCAAGGCUUUGACGGGUAGCCGGCCUGAGAGGGUGACCGGCCACAUUGGGACUGAGAUACGGCCCAGACUCCUACGGGAGGCAGCAGUGGGGAAUAUUGCACAAUGAGCGGAAGCCUGAUGCAGCAACGCCGCGUGCGGGAUGACGGCCUUAGGGUUGUAAACCGCUUUCGCCUGUGACGAAGCGUGAGUGACGGUAAUGGGUAAAGAAGCACCGGCUAACUACGUG
RNAcentral lists this ribosomal RNA (468 nucleotides) under uncultured bacterium. Its description in RNAcentral is "partial 16S ribosomal RNA". It matches the Rfam family "Bacterial small subunit ribosomal RNA", at positions 28 to 507 of the family's 1533-position model. The record is from RNAcentral.